GACGAACGCUGGCGGCGUGCCUAAUACAUGCAAGUCGAGCGAAGUUUUUCUGGUGCUUGCACUAGAAAAACUUAGCGGCGAACGGGUGAGUAACACGUAAAGAACCUGCCUCAUAGACUGGGACAACUAUUGGAAACGAUAGCUAAUACCGGAUAACAGUAUUUCUCGCAUGAGAGAUAUUUAAAAGUUGGUUAUGCUAACACUAUGAGAUGGCUUUGCGGUGCAUUAGCUAGUUGGUGGGGUAAAGGCCCACCAAGGCGACGAUGCAUAGCCGACCUGAGAGGGUGAUCGGCCACACUGGGACUAAGACACGGCCCAGACUCCUACGGGAGGCAGCAGUAGGGAAUCUUCCGCAAUGGGCGAAAGCCUGACGGAGCAACGCCGCGUGAGUGAAGAAGGAUUUCGGUUCGUAAAGCUCUGUUGUUAGGGAAGAAUGGAUAUGUAGUAACUAUACAUGUAAGAGACGGUACCUAACCAGAAAGCCACGGCUAACUACGUG
This 499-nucleotide ribosomal RNA is filed under the name uncultured bacterium. RNAcentral's name for it is "partial 16S ribosomal RNA". It matches the Rfam family "Bacterial small subunit ribosomal RNA", at positions 28 to 507 of the family's 1533-position model. The record is from RNAcentral.